Molecule: ribosomal RNA, 509 nt
Filed under: uncultured bacterium
Lineage: Bacteria
Description: bacterial SSU rRNA
Rfam family: Bacterial small subunit ribosomal RNA
Source: RNAcentral
GACGAACGCUAGCGGGAGGCUUAACACAUGCAAGUCGAGGGGCAUCACGAGGUAGCAAUACUUUGGUGGCGACCGGCGCACGGGUGAGUAACACGUAUGCAACCUUCCCUGUACAGGGGGAUAACCCGGAGAAAUUCGGACUAAUACCCCAUGAUGAUAUUAUGGGGCAUCCUUUAAUAUUUAAAGCUCUGGCGGUACAGGAUGGGCAUGCGCGACAUUAGCUAGUUGGUAAGGUAACGGCUUACCAAGGCGACGAUGUUUAGGGGACCUGAGAGGGUUGUCCCCCACACUGGUACUGAGACACGGACCAGACUCCUACGGGAGGCAGCAGUGAGGAAUAUUGGUCAAUGGGCGCAAGCCUGAACCAGCCAUCCCGCGUGCAGGAAGACGGCCCUAUGGGUUGUAAACUGCUUUUCCAGGGAGAGAAACUUACGCACGUGUUGCGUGACUGACGGUACCCUGGGAAUAAGCAUCGGCUAACUCCGUGCCAGCAGCCGCGGUAAAAGUGU